GCCCUCGUAGCUCAGUGGAUAGAGCGCCGGCCUCCGGAGCCGGGUGCGCAGGUUCGAGUCCUGCCGAGGGCACCA
RNAcentral lists this transfer RNA (75 nucleotides) under Actinomycetota bacterium. Its description in RNAcentral is "Actinobacteria bacterium (sediment metagenome) tRNA-Arg". It matches the Rfam family "tRNA". Rfam says of the family: Transfer RNA (tRNA) molecules are approximately 80 nucleotides in length. Their secondary structure includes four short double-helical elements and three loops (D, anti-codon, and T loops). Lineage: Bacteria; Bacillati; Actinomycetota. The record is from RNAcentral.